This is an RNA transcript of Lynx canadensis (Canada lynx), 1982 nucleotides long. It is a transcript of the gene named ADP ribosylation factor like GTPase 4A, with no coding region annotated. The transcript is spliced from 2 exons. Lineage: Eukaryota; Metazoa; Chordata; Mammalia; Carnivora; Felidae. The record is from RefSeq and is a predicted model, not a curated record.
CGAGGGAGAGGAGGCGGCCGGGUGCGGAGGGGCGAGGUAUAGGGAUCUUGCUGGCGGGGCAGUGACCCUGCCCGUGCGGGAGCCACACAUCGAAUCAUUCACGCCUGGGGGUUGGCACGGCCUCGGCGAGCACCUUUCGCCAGCGGACGAAGGGUUAACGCGCCGGCGGUGAUCGUGGGUCCCGGAUGUGGGAGCCCCGGCCCGGCGUUCGCCGGCCGCGCUGCAGGUGCGCCAGAGCGGGCGGAACGAGGUGUCUGGCAGCGACCUGACCGGCCGGUCGAGGCUCCUUGUCACCUGCAGGGGCCACUCGGCUUCCUCCGUGGGCGCCUUGUUUUCUAACUUAAGGGCAACAGGUGGUGCCUGUGGACCGAGGGAGAGCCCUGCUCGGCCGCACUGGGAGCGGCAGUUAUUCUCACCAAUUAGGGCACUGGGGCGUGUGUGUAUUGGACGCGCUGACGCGGGUGACCAAUGGGACUUGGGCUCGUGGGUGGGCAGUGAGGAGUGGGCGUGGUCAGAGUCCGAAGCUACGGUUUCUAGUGCAGCAACUGCCAGAACUGCGUGGAGAGCUAAGCUGAGCGGUCGUGGGGUGCUUUUCUCUCCAACCCCGUGCGUGAAAAACGUCUAACAAAUGCUUUCCUAUUUGGAUCCAGACUCCAGUUCCGGAGCAGUCUUGUAGCUGGAUCCCCUAGGAAGAGAAAUUCUGAAGCAGUAAGAAGAAAGCAUUUCAAUUUGGAACACUAAUUUGCACCUGGAAAUGGGGAAUGGACUGUCAGACCAGACUUCUAUCCUGUCCAGCCUGCCUUCAUUUCAGUCCUUUCACAUUGUUAUUUUGGGUUUGGACUGUGCUGGAAAGACAACUGUAUUAUACAGGCUGCAGUUCAAUGAGUUUGUAAAUACUGUACCUACCAAAGGAUUUAACACUGAAAAAAUUAAGGUAACCUUGGGAAAUUCUAAAACAGUCACUUUUCACUUCUGGGAUGUAGGUGGCCAGGAGAAAUUAAGGCCACUGUGGAAGUCAUAUACCAGAUGCACUGAUGGCAUUGUGUUUGUUGUGGACUCUGUUGAUGUUGAAAGAAUGGAAGAAGCCAAAACUGAACUUCAUAAAAUAACCAGGAUAUCAGAAAAUCAGGGAGUCCCUGUACUUAUAGUUGCUAACAAGCAAGACCUGAGGAACUCAUUGUCUCUCUCAGAAAUUGAGAAAUUGUUAGCAAUGGGUGAACUGAGCUCUUCCACUCCCUGGCAUUUGCAGCCCACCUGUGCAAUCAUAGGAGAUGGACUGAAGGAAGGACUUGAGAAACUACAUGAUAUGAUAAUUAAAAGAAGAAAAAUGUUGCGGCAACAGAAAAAGAAGAGAUGAAUGGUAAUACCUUUUCUAUCUGUGUGGAGUAGGUUUUCUCCAGUCUGAUUUUGACAAAUGGAAGAGUGUCUACAGCCUGGUUUGCCUGCCUGCCCUCCUGGAUGCUGAUAAAGCUUUGUUUUGUUGAACAAUCAGAUGCCCAACUCUUUUGCCUUGUGGAAGAUGCGUAAAUGCAGUGCUUCUUAAAAUGGUCUCUUCUCCCUACCCCACAAAUCUUUUGGUACUACCAUUCUGGGAAGCCAAGCAUGGAUAGCAAAUUGACCAGAAAACACUUGUGGAAAUUUGACCUGAAGUUAGUGAAAUAAAACUUUGAAGAGUAUCUGCCUAGUGUUUUGUAUUUGCAUCUUUUGGGGGGAAGCCUUUACGAGUAAAUUACAAUAGAAGGCUCUGUAUGUUAAGAUGAAAUGCUAAUGAAUGGAAAUGUUAAGGUAGAUUAAUAUAUAUACAGUUGUAUUGAUCACAUUGGUCCAACCAGUAAGGGAUAAGGAGGAAGUGUUUGUUUUUUUAAGUUUUGGCCAAAUGCAUUUUGACAUUUUCUGGAAUCAAAUGAUGUAAUGCUCUAUCUUAAUUCUGGGCAAUGUUUUAAAUUGGUCUAACUUAAAAUAAUAAAAAUAAGGUAUUGGCA